AAACGAUAUGGGCCAUGGCUUAUAUUCUACACCAUGUGCAAUAAUACAGCCAGCUGACCUAUGUUUAUCAACAAUUUAUUGUCAUCAACGUCGGCAACUCACCGACACUCAAGACAAUUACCAAUUGUCCUUUGGAUUUACCAAGCAACUGCCCAUUUUUCUUUAUCUCUUCUGGAUCUAAUAACUGAAUUUCUGCUCUUUCUUUAAUGAAGUCAAGUUAUCUUUGGAGUAUCUUGAAAAAGUUUUUCAAAACAAGCGGUUUCUCCUGCAACAUAAACUAAAUUUUGGUUUUGAUUUUUGGUGGUCUUGUUUUCCUCUCGAAAAGGUAGUAAUAAUUUGGAAUAUCGAAGUCGGACGGUGUCUGCAUCUUAAAGAUAGUCGGGAGAGAAAUUUUUUUUAUUAUGCUAUUAAAAUUUUAAUUUUAAUUUUUCGAAUUAAAAAUUUAAUAUUUUAUCGCAUAAUAUUUAAUAAAUUAAAAAAAUUAAAUUUAAAAAAAUUAUCUUUUUAUGUAUUCAGAAUGAAUUAUUUCAAAUCAGAUUUAUUAUAAAUCUCGAUUGUUAUUUACAUAUAUAAAAAUUGUUGAUAGUUGAAUUAAACCUAAAUUUUAUAAAAAAAAAAUUCAGUGUUUACCAAUUCAAUCAAUCCUGUUUUCAUACUACUUUUAGCUUUAUUUCCCAAAUACAAAUAAAAAAUUAGUAUUCCAAUUAAGUAGAAACUGCUCUAAAUCUUUUGGCAAAGACGUUUGAAGGUCAUUGAGUUGACCUGCAAAGGCUUAGAUCAAACGGUGUUUAUACCGAUUUCUGAACCUCGAACUGGUUGUUUCCCCCGUUCAUGUCCGUUCCACCUAAGUUUACAGUUAAGGAUGAUAGUGAAGUUGAAACCUUUAAUUUGUUACCAUUAAGAUAAGGAUUCAAUUAAUUAAAUAAUAACAAUUUAUUAAUGAGUUAAAUUGUAUGAUAAUAUCGAAUAAAUUUUUUAAAAUAUUUUAAAUUUUAUACUUUUAUUUUAAACAUUAAUAUUUAUUUAUUGAUUAAUUAAUAUUAUUUAAUUUACUAAUAAUAUAUAAAAUUUAUA
This 1074-nucleotide long non-coding RNA is filed under the name Durio zibethinus. Its description in RNAcentral is "long non-coding RNA (DZIB_LNC000864)". Lineage: Eukaryota; Viridiplantae; Streptophyta; Magnoliopsida; Malvales; Malvaceae. The record is from RNAcentral.